RNAcentral lists this ribosomal RNA (232 nucleotides) under uncultured bacterium. RNAcentral's name for it is "partial 16S ribosomal RNA". It matches the Rfam family "Bacterial small subunit ribosomal RNA", at positions 99 to 334 of the family's 1533-position model. The record is from RNAcentral.
CGGACGGGUGAGUAAUGUCUGGGAAACUGCCCGAUGGUGGGGGAUAACUACUGGAAACGGUAGCUAAUACCGCAUAACGUCGCAAGACCAAAGAGGGGGACCUUAGGGCCUCUUGCCAUCGGAUGUGCCCAGAUGGGAUUAGCUAGUAGGUGGGGUAAUGGCUCACCUAGGCGACGAUCCCUAGCUGGUCUGAGAGGAUGACCAGCCACACUGGAACUGAGACACGGUCCAG